UUAAGCGACUAAGCGUACACGGUGGAUGCCCUGGCAGUCAGAGGCGAUGAAGGACGUGCUAAUCUGCGAAAAGCGUCGGUAAGGUGAUAUGAACCGUUAUAACCGGCGAUGUCCGAAUGGGGAAACCCAGUGUGAUUCGUCACACUAUCGUUAACUGAAUACAUAGGUUAACGAGGCGAACCGGGGGAACUGAAACAUCUAAGUACCCCGAGGAAAAGAAAUCAACCGAGAUUCCCCAGUAGCGGCGAGCGAACGGGGAGCAGCCCAGAGUCUGAAUCAGCUUGUGUGUUAGUGGAACGGUCUGGAAAGUCCGACGGUACAGGGUGAUAGUCCCGUACACCAAAAUGCACAGGUUGUGAACUCGAAGAGUAGGGCGGGACACGUGGUAUCCUGUCUGAAUAUGGGGGGACCAUCCUCCAAGGCUAAAUACUCCUGACUGACCGAUAGUGAACCAGUACCGUGAGGGAAAGGCGAAAAGAACCCCGGCGAGGGGAGUGAAAAAGAACCUGAAACCGUGUACGUACAAGCAGUGGGAGCACCUUCGGGUGUGACUGCGUACCUUUUGUAUAAUGGGUCAGCGACUUAUAUUCUGUAGCAAGGUUAACCGUAUAGGGGAGCCGCAGGGAAACCGAGUCUUAACUGGGCGUUAAGUUGCAGGGUAUAGACCCGAAACCCGGUGAUCUAGCCAUGGGCAGGUUGAAGGUUGGGUAACACUAACUGGAGGACCGAACCGACUAAUGUUGAAAAAUUAGCGGAUGACUUGUGGCUGGGGGUGAAAGGCCAAUCAAACCGGGAGAUAGCUGGUUCUCCCCGAAAGCUAUUUAGGUAGCGCCUCGUGAAUUCAUCUUCGGGGGUAGAGCACUGUUUCGGCUAGGGGGUCAUCCCGACUUACCAACCCGAUGCAAACUACGAAUACCGAAGAAUGUUAUCACGGGAGACACACGGCGGGUGCUAACGUCCGUCGUGAAGAGGGAAACAACCCAGACCGCCAGCUAAGGUCCCAAAGUCAUGGUUAAGUGGGAAACGAUGUGGGAAGGCACAGACAGCCAGGAUGUUGGCUUAGAAGCAGCCAUCAUUUAAAGAAAGCGUAAUAGCUCACUGGUCGAGUCGGCCUGCGCGGAAGAUGUAACGGGGCUAAACCAUGCACCGAAGCUGCGGCAGCGACACUAUGUGUUGUUGGGUAGGGGAGCGUUCUGUAAGCCUGCGAAGGUGUGCUGUGAGGCAUGCUGGAGGUAUCAGAAGUGCGAAUGCUGACAUAAGUAACGAUAAAGCGGGUGAAAAGCCCGCUCGCCGGAAGACCAAGGGUUCCUGUCCAACGUUAAUCGGGGCAGGGUGAGUCGACCCCUAAGGCGAGGCCGAAAGGCGUAGUCGAUGGGAAACAGGUUAAUAUUCCUGUACUUGGUGUUACUGCGAAGGGGGGACGGAGAAGGCUAUGUUAGCCGGGCGACGGUUGUCCCGGUUUAAGCAUGUAGGCUGGUUAUCCAGGCAAAUCCGGAUAAUCAAGGCUGAGGUGUGAUGACGAGGCACUACGGUGCUGAAGUAACAAAUGCCCUGCUUCCAGGAAAAGCCUCUAAGCAUCAGGUAACAUCAAAUCGUACCCCAAACCGACACAGGUGGUCAGGUAGAGAAUACCAAGGCGCUUGAGAGAACUCGGGUGAAGGAACUAGGCAAAAUGGUGCCGUAACUUCGGGAGAAGGCACGCUGGUGUGUAGGUGAAGUCCCUGCGGAUGGAGCUGAGACCAGUCGAAGAUACCAGCUGGCUGCAACUGUUUAUUAAAAACACAGCACUGUGCAAACACGAAAGUGGACGUAUACGGUGUGACGCCUGCCCGGUGCCGGAAGGUUAAUUGAUGGGGUUAUCCGUAAGGAGAAGCUCUUGAUCGAAGCCCCGGUAAACGGCGGCCGUAACUAUAACGGUCCUAAGGUAGCGAAAUUCCUUGUCGGGUAAGUUCCGACCUGCACGAAUGGCGUAAUGAUGGCCAGGCUGUCUCCACCCGAGACUCAGUGAAAUUGAACUCGCUGUGAAGAUGCAGUGUACCCGCGGCAAGACGGAAAGACCCCGUGAACCUUUACUAUAGCUUGACACUGAACAUUGAGCCUUGAUGUGUAGGAUAGGUGGGAGGCUUUGAAGCGUGGACGCCAGUCUGCGUGGAGCCAACCUUGAAAUACCACCCUUUAAUGUUUGAUGUUCUAACGUUGGCCCCUUACCGGGGUUGCGGACAGUGUCUGGUGGGUAGUUUGACUGGGGCGGUCUCCUCCCAAAGCGUAACGGAGGAGCACGAAGGUUAGCUAAUCCUGGUCGGACAUCAGGAGGUUAGUGCAAUGGCAUAAGCUAGCUUGACUGCGAGCGUGACGGCGCGAGCAGGUGCGAAAGCAGGUCAUAGUGAUCCGGUGGUUCUGAAUGGAAGGGCCAUCGCUCAACGGAUAAAAGGUACUCCGGGGAUAACAGGCUGAUACCGCCCAAGAGUUCAUAUCGACGGCGGUGUUUGGCACCUCGAUGUCGGCUCAUCACAUCCUGGGGCUGAAGUAGGUCCCAAGGGUAUGGCUGUUCGCCAUUUAAAGUGGUACGCGAGCUGGGUUUAGAACGUCGUGAGACAGUUCGGUCCCUAUCUGCCGUGGGCGCUGGAGAAUUGAGGGGGGCUGCUCCUAGUACGAGAGGACCGGAGUGGACGCAUCACUGGUGUUCGGGUUGUCAUGCCAAUGGCACUGCCCGGUAGCUAAAUGCGGAAGAGAUAAGUGCUGAAAGCAUCUAAGCACGAAACUUGCCCCGAGAUGAGUUCUCCCUGAGACUUUAAGUCUCCUGAAGGAACGUUAAAGACGAUGACGUUGAUAGGCCGGGUGUGUAAGCGCAGCGAUGCGUUGAGCUAACCGGUACUAAUGAACCGUGAGGCUUAACCUU
This 2899-nucleotide ribosomal RNA is filed under the name Klebsiella pneumoniae. RNAcentral's name for it is "bacterial LSU rRNA". It matches the Rfam family "Bacterial large subunit ribosomal RNA". Lineage: Bacteria; Pseudomonadati; Pseudomonadota; Gammaproteobacteria; Enterobacterales; Enterobacteriaceae. The record is from RNAcentral.